RNAcentral lists this ribosomal RNA (2252 nucleotides) under human gut metagenome. RNAcentral describes it as "bacterial LSU rRNA". It matches the Rfam family "Bacterial large subunit ribosomal RNA", at positions 14 to 2306 of the family's 2925-position model. The record is from RNAcentral.
AGAGCGUAGGGUGAAUAGCUAGGCACCAAGAGCCGAAGAAGGACGUGAUAAGCUGCGAAAAGCUUUGGGUAGGAGCAAAUAUCCAUUAAUCCAGAGAUAUCCGAAUGAGGGAACUCACUUAGAGCAAACAAUCUAAGUAUCCAUAUAUGAGUAAAGUAGUAUAUGAGAAGGGAACGUGGGGAACUGAAACAUCUUAGUACCCACAGGAAAAGAAAGAGAAAUCGAUUCCUAGAGUAGUGGCGAGCGAAAUAGGAAGAGCCUAAACCAUGAGUAGUAAUACACAUGGGGUUCGGACCACGAUAUAUUAUCAAUAAUUCUAAUAGAAAUGUUUUGGAAAAGCAUACCAUAGACGGUGAAAGUCCAGUAUAUGAAAGAAAAGUUGAGAUUAGUGGUAUCCAAAGUAGUACGAGACACGAGAAAUCUCGUAUGAAUAAGCGGGGACCAUCCCGUAAGGCUAAAUACUACUUGGUGACCGAUAGUGAACUAGUACCGUGAGGGAAAGGUGAAAAGAACCCCGGGAGGGGAGUGAAAUAGAACAUGAAACCCUAUGUUUACAAGCAGACAAAGCACUUUAUAUGUGCGAUGUCGUACUUUUUGUAGAACGGUCCAGCGAGUUAUUGUGUAUGGCGAGGUUAAGUAUUACGUAAGGUACGGAGCCGAAGCGAAAGCGAGUCUGAAAAGGGCGAUAUAAGUCAUGCAUAAUAGACCCGAAACUGAGUGACCUAUCCAUGAGCAGGAUGAAGCUAGAGUAAAAUCUAGUGGAGGUCCGAACUGAUUGUCGUUAAAAAGGCACCGGAUGACUUGUGGAUAGCGGAGAAAUUCCAAUCGAACUCAGAGAUAGCUGGUUCUCCUCGAAAUAGCUUUAGGGCUAGCCUUGAGGGAAUGCAUAUGGGGGUAGAGCACUGAAUGAGGUAGGGGCCUAACCAGGUUACCAAACUCUAUCAAACUCCGAAUACCAUAUGUAAAUACUCAGGAGUCAGACUGCGGGAGCUAAGUUCCGUGGUCAAAAGGAAAACAGUCCAGAUCGUCAAUUAAGGUCCCAAAGAUAUAGCUAAGUGGAAAACGAUGUGAUUUUGCAUAAACAACCAGGAUGUUGGCUCAGAAGCAGCCAUUCAUUCAAAGAGUGCGUAAUAGCUCACUGGUCGAGUGAAGUUGCGCGGAAAAUUACCGGGGCUAAGCUAUACACCGAAAUUGCGGAUUUACAUUUGAAAGACAAUGUAAGUGGUAGAGGAGCAUUCUGUAGUAGGAAGAAGCAUGACCGUAAGGACAUGUGGACGAAGCAGAAGAGAGAAUGCUGGAAUAAGUAGCGAGAGGAUGGUGAGAAUCCAUCCCGUCGAAAAUCUAAGGUUUCCCAGGGAAGGUUCGUCCGCCUGGGGUAAGUCGGGACCUAAGGAGAGGCCGAAAGGCGUAUCUGAUGGAUAGCAGGUUGAAAUUCCUGCACUACGAAUAUACUUAAAAGAUUCAAGGGACGCAGAAGUGGAAGAUAACCAAGUAAGAGGAAAAGCUUGGCUCGCAAGAGGGAGUGAAAAUUAAAAGUAACGAAGUAUCAAGAAGCACGCUGACGAGAAAAGCUUGAAGAUAUUGUAUAUAAGUACCCGUACCGCAAACCGACACAGGUAGAUGAGGAGAGGAUCCUAAGACGAGCGGGAGAAGCAUUGUUAAGGAACUCGGCAAACUAACCCCGUAACUUCGGAAUAAGGGGUGCUGAUGUAACAGUCAGUCGCAGAGAAAAGGCCCAAGCAACUGUUUAACAAAAACAUAGGUUUCUGCUAAAUCGAAAGAUGAAGUAUAGGAGCUGACGCCUGCCCAGUGCUGGAAGGUUAAGGGAAAGAGUUAGGGUUAAACCGAAGCUUAGAACUGAAGCCCCAGUGAACGGCGGCCGUAACUAUAACGGUCCUAAGGUAGCGAAAUUCCUUGUCAGGUAAGUUCUGACCCGCACGAAAGGCGUAAUGAUUUGGGCGCUGUCUCGACAAUGUCCCCGGCGAAAUUGUAGUACUAGUGAAGAUGCUAGUUACCUGCGAUAAGACAGAAAGACCCCAUGGAGCUUUACUGCAGUUUGAUACUGGGUUUCGAUGAUUUAUGUACAGGAUAGUUGGGAGACUAUGAAAGAGAGGCGUCAGCUUCUCUGGAGUCGUUGUUGGGAUACCAACCUUAAGUUAUUGAAAUUCUAACUUGUAAUCGUAAACCGGUUAGAGGACAAUGUCAGACGGGCAGUUUGACUGGGGCGGUCGCCUCCUAAAGAGUAACGGAGG